GCAUGCCGCCUUCUUGGACGUUUCCUCCCUAAACUUGGCGGCGCCGCAUAGGCGCCGCCUUUUUUUGCCAUAA
This 73-nucleotide small RNA is filed under the name Rhodovastum atsumiense. RNAcentral describes it as "Makes More Granules Regulator RNA (mmgR)". It matches the Rfam family "Makes More Granules Regulator RNA (mmgR)". Rfam says of the family: SuhB later renamed mmgR (makes more granules regulator) was a putative non-coding RNA found multiple times in the Agrobacterium tumefaciens genome and related alpha-proteobacteria. The record is from Rfam by way of RNAcentral. Lineage: Bacteria; Pseudomonadati; Pseudomonadota; Alphaproteobacteria; Acetobacterales; Acetobacteraceae.